UCGAGCUUUCAUUUAACAACUUCGAAAUGUAGAAAAUAUAGAGGAGGGCCUCGUUAUAACAAAUCAAUAAGUUCUAAAGGUAAUAUAAUUAUAAAUAUUUUUUGUACUUUAAAAUGCCAUUAAACAUAAUUAAUUCAUGAUAUUGUACAUGCUUUACAUCAUAUUGUAGAAUAACAUUUUCUAUAAUUACAAGAUGAAGCAAGCCGGUGC
RNAcentral lists this long non-coding RNA (210 nucleotides) under Solanum tuberosum (potato). RNAcentral's name for it is "long non-coding RNA (STUB_LNC007175)". The record is from RNAcentral. Lineage: Eukaryota; Viridiplantae; Streptophyta; Magnoliopsida; Solanales; Solanaceae.